UUGUACUUCAGUCUAGCUUUACAACAUCAUUUCAUACUGUUGUUCUCAAUAAAAAGCUCUUUCAUAGAACUUUAGGCACCAGCUCUCCUAUAUUUACUUAGAAUUCUACUUAACCACUACAAAGCCUGCCUUUGUCCUUUCCAGCAGUAUUAUGUUUACUUAGCUCCCAGAUCCUUUUUCUUCAGUAGCCACAAAGAUACCC
RNAcentral lists this long non-coding RNA (202 nucleotides) under Elaeis guineensis (African oil palm). RNAcentral's name for it is "long non-coding RNA (EGUI_LNC022452)". The record is from RNAcentral. Lineage: Eukaryota; Viridiplantae; Streptophyta; Magnoliopsida; Arecales; Arecaceae.